RNAcentral lists this transfer RNA (88 nucleotides) under Acidobacteriota bacterium. Its description in RNAcentral is "Acidobacteria bacterium (activated sludge metagenome) tRNA-Ser". It matches the Rfam family "tRNA". Rfam says of the family: Transfer RNA (tRNA) molecules are approximately 80 nucleotides in length. Their secondary structure includes four short double-helical elements and three loops (D, anti-codon, and T loops). Lineage: Bacteria; Pseudomonadati; Acidobacteriota. RNAcentral also lists the same sequence under 1 other name. The record is from RNAcentral.
GGAGGAAUGGCUGAGUGGUCGAAAGCGGCGGUCUUGAAAACCGUUGACUCGCAAGGGUCCGUGGGUUCGAAUCCUACUUCCUCCGCCA